RNAcentral lists this ribosomal RNA (1372 nucleotides) under uncultured bacterium. Its description in RNAcentral is "bacterial SSU rRNA". It matches the Rfam family "Bacterial small subunit ribosomal RNA", at positions 28 to 1381 of the family's 1533-position model. The record is from RNAcentral.
GAUGAACGCUGGCGGCGUGCCUAAUACAUGCAAGUCGAGCGAACGGACGAGAAGCUUGCUUCUCUGAUGUUAGCGGCGGACGGGUGAGUAACACGUGGAUAACCUACCUAUAAGACUGGGAUAACUUCGGGAAACCGUAGCUAAUACCGGAUAAUAUUUUGAACCGCAUGGUUCAAAAGUGAAAGACGGUCUUGCUGUCACUUAUAGAUGGAUCCGCGCUGCAUUAGCUAGUUGGUAAGGUAACGGCUUACCAAGGCAACGAUGCAUAGCCGACCUGAGAGGGUGAUCGGCCACACUGGAACUGAGACACGGUCCAGACUCCUACGGGAGGCAGCAGUAGGGAAUCUUCCGCAAUGGGCGAAAGCCUGACGGAGCAACGCCGCGUGAGUGAUGAAGGUCUUCGGAUCGUAAAACUCUGUUAUUAGGGAAGAACAUAUGUGUAAGUAACUGUGCACAUCUUGACGGUACCUAAUCAGAAAGCCACGGCUAACUACGUGCCAGCAGCCGCGGUAAUACGUAGGUGGCAAGCGUUAUCCGGAAUUAUUGGGCGUAAAGCGCGCGUAGGCGGUUUUUUAAGUCUGAUGUGAAAGCCCACGGCUCAACCGUGGAGGGCCAUUGGAAACUGGAAAACUUGAGUGCAGAAGAGGAAAGUGGAAUUCCAUGUGUAGCGGUGAAAUGCGCAGAGAUAUGGAGGAACACCAGUGGCGAAGGCGACUUUCUGGUCUGUAACUGACGCUGAUGUGCGAAAGCGUGGGGAUCAAACAGGAUUAGAUACCCUGGUAGUCCACGCCGUAAACGAUGAGUGCUAAGUGUUAGGGGGUUUCCGCCCCUUAGUGCUGCAGCUAACGCAUUAAGCACUCCGCCUGGGGAGUACGACCGCAAGGUUGAAACUCAAAGGAAUUGACGGGGACCCGCACAAGCGGUGGAGCAUGUGGUUUAAUUCGAAGCAACGCGAAGAACCUUACCAAAUCUUGACAUCCUUUGACAACUCUAGAGAUAGAGCCUUCCCCUUCGGGGGACAAAGUGACAGGUGGUGCAUGGUUGUCGUCAGCUCGUGUCGUGAGAUGUUGGGUUAAGUCCCGCAACGAGCGCAACCCUUAAGCUUAGUUGCCAUCAUUAAGUUGGGCACUCUAAGUUGACUGCCGGUGACAAACCGGAGGAAGGUGGGGAUGACGUCAAAUCAUCAUGCCCCUUAUGAUUUGGGCUACACACGUGCUACAAUGGACAAUACAAAGGGCAGCGAAACCGCGAGGUCAAGCAAAUCCCAUAAAGUUGUUCUCAGUUCGGAUUGUAGUCUGCAACUCGACUACAUGAAGCUGGAAUCGCUAGUAAUCGUAGAUCAGCAUGCUACGGUGAAUACGUUCCCGGGUCU